This is a long non-coding RNA of Meriones unguiculatus (Mongolian gerbil), 2654 nucleotides long. RefSeq lists it as uncharacterized. NCBI's taxonomy places the organism in Eukaryota, Metazoa, Chordata, Mammalia, Rodentia, Muridae. The record is from RefSeq and is a predicted model, not a curated record. The transcript has 5 exons.
UUCUCCAGCACCAUGUCUGCCUACAUGCCACCAUACUCCUUGACACAGUGGGAAUGAACUAAAUCUCUGAAACUGAAGCUCGCCCCAACUGAUGUUAAAAGGUCAUCCUGAGUGAGGAAUCCCUGAAUCAGAAAGACACACAUGGAUGUACCUGACCACAAAUUACCUACUGGGGAGUUGCUGACGGAUGACAUACCAGGAAGGGGUAGACACAUGUUCUUCAUGGGGAGGUCGCUCCAGAGCACUUCUACCUAAGAAAUAAAACUGUUAACAAGACCAUAGAGUUCUUACCAACCAGUGGAAGAAAAAUAUUUACUAAAACAACAAUCCUCGAAUCGACACAACUUAAAAACACUGUAGAAAGACUGACAGUAUUUGCCAUAAGGGUCUGCUAAAAACAGAAAGAAAAGAAAAUUUAGCAGCUCCUAUGUUGUGCCUCUAAAAUACUAGCAAAAUGCAUAUUAUGUUUUUCAAGGUUUGCAAUAUAUUUAUAUUACGCCAGAGCUAACACCUAGAAAAUUAAGUUUGUUUUUUUUUUUAAUUUACUUGAGGUUAAAACAAUAAUUACAAACCAAUCUAGGGAGGGGAAGGGGAGUAAAACAUACCAUAAAACCCUUUUUUAGAAGCAAAAGUUAAAUCAUUUUUGCUUUUGAAAACCACUGAACAAUUUCAAUAGUUAUUCACAAUCUAGUUGAAGCCACCUUGGAAACCAUGUGACAGAGCCAUUUGGAGUGCCUAGAACUUCCCCAGGACUUCUCUCUUGGCUCAUCCUGAGCAUAAAAGAAAGCACUUUUUGUGCUUCCCAGGAGAACGUUCAGAGACUCAGUGGAAGCAGAUGUAUGUCAGUCUAUGUUUUAAAGCACACAGCUCCGACAAGUUAGGUUUCUCAUGGGUAGAAGCAAGAUGACAGGCCAUGUCAGAACAUGUGCUUCUGUCCCAUCACCUGAUAAAAACAGGGUUCUCACAUGGAAGGAAAUGGGGAGCAGGAAAAGAUGAGGAAACUCAAGUCUCUCAAUAUGGAAUAAACAGUCUUAGUCAUGCAAUUCUGUCUUCACAAUUUAACUACUGCUCAGACUCCGUCUCUAAAUUUUGUUGCUUGGAAGGCCUGAGGAAGCAUCCAUGAAGGUUCUUGUCUCUUUGUCAUCAGGACUAAAUCAGAGCCAUCUAAAGAGCUCCAACAUCUGUGGAAGCUCUUCAUGGAUAAGAGCGUGAGAAGCCAUUUUGAAGCAAGGAGGAACCCUUACCUACUUUAAUAUCCAAAUACUACAUCCUCCAAGGCUUUCGGUUUUUCAUUUAGCCACUGUGGAGGAUGUGGAUUCAAAAUUGAAUGCAAGAAAAUUCUGAUGGCUGGAGAAGUUAUGGAAUCAACCUGUGCUAUAGCAAAGGAAGAUUCUCGAAAAACCAGGUUUCCACUUACCUGUUGAAAAGAUCUUUGUCGGUAUUAAAGAAGUCACAGAAGUAUAACAGCUGUGUGAUUAUUGAGCAUUGUGGGAAAAUUGAAGAGAAUGAAAUUAUGAUUGACACAGGCAGGGGAAGGAUGAAGCGUUCUGCUUUCAUUACCUUUGAUGAUCAUGGUCUAGGAAAAAGAUUGCCAUUCAGAAAAUGAUUCCAUGCAUGGCCAAGGCAGUGAAGUAAGAAACUCCUUGUUGAAGUAAGAGAUAGCUAGUGCUUCAUCUAGCCAAAGAUGAGUGAUUCUGGAAACUUUUGGUGAUGGCUAUGGUGCAAUGACACUUUUGGAGGUGACAUCAGUAGUUGUGGUGGCUUUGGUGGCAAUUGUAGAGGCAGAUGUGGUGAUAAUGAUAGCUAUAAAGGAUUUGGUAAUGGUGGUGAUUGUGAGUCCAGAACUCUGGUCCUCUAUAAGACAAACGUACACUCUUUGGUGUUGAGCCAUCUCUCUGUCCACUAAAAAAAGAUAAGGACAAGACAAUCUAAAAACAGACAAGAAUAACAACAGGAACAAAAGGUAUGGGGUACUAUCUAAUGUGUUCACUAGCUUAUUGUCAACGGGUUGACUCUAAAAGGACUAUUUUAACAUAUGAAUAAAGUAUUUAGAAAUCUUAGGACAAUCUUUCCUGACUUCUCUACUCUCUAAAGGACAGAUUUAAACCUAUAUCAGACUGGAGUGUGGAGUCUAGAUUUACCACAAAGGCUCUUAAUAUUGGGCAAUCAUGGCAAUACUACCUACUCCAUUUUGCCCCCAGGAGAGCAGAAAGCUUUCUAGUCCCUGCAGGGAUACUUUGAACUAGGAGAAACAUCUUUCCCCUCCACUCUGCCUUGGACAAAGCUCUCUUAGCUGGAACACAGACAUUUACCACUGCCAGGCAAGAAGUACAAUAAAUAAAGAGAAGAUGAUCUUAAAAUAAUUUUUUAAGUGGAAAAAAAUCCAAAAAGCAGGAAGAAAACACAGUAUAUAAUAGUCUUUUUUUAAAAAGAAAAAAUGAUAUAUGUAUGUGUUUGGGAACACACAGACUGCGGUGUGCAUAUGGAACCUGAGGGAAACUUGCUGAAGUUGGUUCUCUCUUCUACCAUUUGCAUUCCACAGGCUGAACUCAGGUCACAGGCUUGAUGGAGCGUGCCUUUGCCUGCUGAGCUCCCUUCUUGGCUUUGGUCUUGACACUUAUCCCUCUGGAAGUGCAUAUCAUGUCCUCCCUCCC